GAGGUUCUUCAUAACAUAUGAAAAGUGUUCAAAAUAUUAUGACAUUUGAACAUUUUGAUUUGAAUCAAAAUAUUAUGAUUGCUCAUGGUCAAUUUCAAGGUUAAAAGGAGACUGUAAAAGAAUGGAUUUUUAUAAUUGAGAUGCCAUAGAUAUGGUAAAUCACAAUACUUCAAAAAUUUGGGGGUAAAAUGUUACAUGUUAUAUGGCAAUUAACAAAUCUAAUCUCAGGAAUUCAAAAUUAUUUUCCUACCAGCAAGAGAUCCAUGCCCCAUCUUUUUUAUGAUCCCUAUAAACCAAGAUAAUAAGUCAGUACUAUUUGGUGUUGGUGAAUGCAUAUUCAACGAACCAAAGUUGUCAACAAAUUUAGAAAACCAUAUCAAAUUUUCUUGACACUACUUGACAUUGUGCUUUGACAGUCUAUCAGCACUACACAUACAUGUUUUAUCAAAAAAGAAAUAUUGAUUAAAUUAAUUCAAUUGAAUUUGUAUUUCUCUACUAUCAAUAACAACUUCUCUCCUCACUCCAUCUGCUUACUUACAGAUAUCCAGAGAUGAAGAGGACCCUGUGGUGGAGGGUAGAAGGAGCAGAGAAAAAGGGAUGUAUCUGAAAGUGUUUCAAGAGUAUUUAGAAUGCACCCUCGUUCAAAAAAUGCCCCGUCCCUUCUUGUGGAGAGUAAUAGGAGAGGCACUGCCUCUUUAGUCAGAGUCAUAGUUCUCCACUUUGGCUGCACACUAUAAUCACUUGGCCCAAUUAUAAAAAAUACUAAUGCCCAUCCCAACUCUCAGAGAUUGGAAUUUAAUUGAGUUUGGGGUAGGUUUCAGACUUUUUUUUUAAAGGCCAAGAUUAUUUUAGAGUGCUGCCAGGGCAUUAAGAAGAUCUGGAUUCAAUUCUUUUUGUAUGAUCUUAGACAAGUUAGUGAGCUCUUCUGAACCCCAAUGUAUCCAUAAAAUAAAGGUUUUUUUUGUUUGUUUGUUUUUUUGUUUUUUUAAAAUCUACUUCACGGAGCCAUGUUGGGGGGAAAAAAGAGAAUAAAUACGUGAGAACUCCCAACACAGACUCUGGCACAUACGUGGCACUCAGUAAGUGUAAGUUCCCUUCUUCUUCACUAUGCGCUAAUCUAUGUUCAGAUUAAACAAAACGUUGCCUUUUGUACUUGUGUCUCUUGCUUUUUCCCCCUCUGAUAUCUUCCACUUAUUUUUCAGAAGUAACCUAAGGGUACUUGAAGGAAAUGAGAGUCAAAGUCCUUUCCCUUCUGUAGCACAAAGGGCCUCUCCACCCCUUUUCCCAAAGUUAAGUGAUUCUAUGUAUUCAACUAGCAGCUGUGGGACUGAGGCCAUGUUGGGAGAGGGACUGAAGUAUGACCUGACAUCACCCAUGUCUUCCUAUUUCCAGGUAGUCAGGGAGGAAUGCCCUAACUGAGCUUGGGGAAGCCCUUGAAUGUCGGAGAAUGGCCAACUUUUCCAAAGUGAAAGUACACAACCCAACGUGGCAGCAGGAGAAGGAAAAACACAAAUUGCACAGAGGUCUCUGCUCUGAAGCCUGCAGAAUAACAAAGGAGUCUAUGAGAUGGAGAAAUAGAAGGGCGAAGGGAUCUUCACCGUGUGUGCCAUGAUGCCUUGACACUGACACCAAACAAUGUUGUGUCUGUCUCUAUAAUCCAGAGGAUGGGCAAUAUGGAUUUUGUGACAUAAAAAUCAGUGUGACAUAUGACUACCAUAAAAGAAGGAAUUAACAGACUAUUUUCUUAAUACUUGACUAAUAAACACUUACUACAUGUACAGUUA
Non-coding RNA from Macaca mulatta (Rhesus monkey), 1784 nucleotides. The record is from RefSeq and is a predicted model, not a curated record. NCBI's taxonomy places the organism in Eukaryota, Metazoa, Chordata, Mammalia, Primates, Cercopithecidae.